CAAGUAGGCCGUAUCGCCCUUCCCCUCGUCCUUUUAGCACCUUGAAUUUGCACAAUAUCUCCCCUUCUCACUGGCGCAUUUGCGGUCUCUAUUGCACAUAUCUGAACCUCCUCAAUCAAACUUUCAUUUUUUUCCCGGUUGGGAUAGAUAUUAUAUACACUGGAUUCUUCAGUUGCUGGUUUAUAUUUGCUUUUAUCAGUUAUUUUCUGUUUUAGAUUAUUUGAUUUUGGAAGUUUUUGCUUAAUCAGAUACUUCCUAUUUUUUGUUGUUUUCAUUUGAAACCCACCUCAUCUGAAUUAGGUUUUCCCUUAUCAAGUUGAAAUUUGUCAUAGCAUCUGUCCAAGUCAGUGUAGCAUGGUGUGCUUAUUAUGUGUCCCCGCUUAAAUAUCAUAACGUC
Molecule: long non-coding RNA, 397 nt
Organism: Telopea speciosissima
Lineage: Eukaryota; Viridiplantae; Streptophyta; Magnoliopsida; Proteales; Proteaceae
Exons: 2
Source: RefSeq, a predicted model, not a curated record